Long non-coding RNA from Hemicordylus capensis (graceful crag lizard), 1104 nucleotides. RefSeq lists it as uncharacterized. The transcript is spliced from 4 exons. NCBI's taxonomy places the organism in Eukaryota, Metazoa, Chordata, Lepidosauria, Squamata, Cordylidae. The record is from RefSeq and is a predicted model, not a curated record.
UAUAUUCUUACUGGGCCUCUAGGCUUUGUAAGCAAUGGUAAACCAGAAAAAGAAGAGGAAGUCAAGAACCAUUUUUAGGGAAACUAUCUGACUGAAGAAUGAACAGUGUACACAGUAAUCUGAAGUUCAAGAAAAAGCAUUUUCCUUCAUUUCCAGUGAAAGAGUAUUUUGCAAUUUGCUGUGGAGAAGAAAAAAAAGUUAAGAAGUAGAUAUCCCAGCAGCUUUAGACAUAAGUGAUGAAGGUGUAUGGACUGGAUCUUUGCCCUUUUCUCUCAAAAGAGUAAAGUACAAGUUGAACAUAAGCUGAACAUUUACUACAGUGCAGCCCAGGUUUGAAGGAAGGCAACUCCACUCCCAAGAGCAAGGCUUAGAUAGUUUAAAGGGACCUCACCUGUUUCCUUUGUCUCUGUUAUUGGUGAAGCUAUGAUACCUCAGAUUCUCUUGUGGACCCCACUGAAUCAAUGUCUGCAGGCAGCACAGGCUGUCGUUUGAGGUCUUGCACUCUGUCUUCUUCCUCAGCUGUGAUUUCAUCCAGGGAUGGAUAGUGUGAUAAAACUGCGGAUCAUGACUAACUUUUUGAUCCCAUUUUUUAAGCAUGAUGCUCUACCAGACUACUGAGCAAUUGCUUUGAGUGAUCUGAGUCUACAAACCAAGCCAUGGACACAUUUGCACAUGGGCAUGGAUCACUGUCUAUAAAUUAACCCUUGGCGGAUCCUGGUAUGUGAAAUAUGGAUUCCAAAAAGUUAUUAUUAUUAUUUUUUUUAAAAAAUGAGAGCAUAAUCCCACCAGCUCACACUGUGGAUGUGAACAGUGGGUUUUUAUAAAAUUGUAAUUAGCUGGAAAGCGUGGAGAUUAUAGAUGUUUUAUGGAACCAAUACUAUGGAAACUAUAAAUGUAAAACUGUUUCAGUGGCCAUAACAAAUUUUCUGCACUAAAUUAAAUUGUGUCAUAAGAUAGAAGCCAUUAGUUAAGGAAAUAACAUCUAAUGUUUGUUUUUAAAAUGUUUCAGACUGGAAAAACCAAAGUAGUCUAUUUAUAUAUUUUGAAUGGAACUGGGUCUCUGGUAUGGUAGUGGAGCAAGGGUAUAAGAUUAAGGGAGUUGUU